RNAcentral lists this transfer RNA (72 nucleotides) under Candidatus Omnitrophota bacterium. Its description in RNAcentral is "Candidatus Omnitrophica bacterium tRNA-Thr". It matches the Rfam family "tRNA". Rfam says of the family: Transfer RNA (tRNA) molecules are approximately 80 nucleotides in length. Lineage: Bacteria; Pseudomonadati; Candidatus Omnitrophota. The record is from RNAcentral.
GCCGGCGUAGCUCAGGGGUAGAGCAGGGGUUUUGUAAACCUCAGGUCGGGGGUUCAAAUCCCUCCGCCGGCU